CAUGCAAGUCGAACGCGUCUUGGGGGCAACUCCAAGAUGAGUGGCGAACGGGUGAGUAGCACGUGGGUAAUCUCCCCCCGAGUGAGGGAUAAGCCCCCGAAAGGGGGUCUAAUACCGCAUAACACCCUGGGGCAUAAGCUUCCAGGGUCGAAGCCGCAAGGCGCUUGGGGAUGAGCCUGCGUCCUAUUAGCUAGUUGGUAGGGUAACGGCCUACCAAGGUUAUGAUGGGUAGCCGACCUGAGAGGGUGAUCGGCCACACUGGGACUGAGACACGGCCCAGACUCCUACGGGAGGCAGCAGUGAGGAAUUUUGCGCAAUGGGGGAAACCCUGACGCAGUAACGCCGCGUGGGUGAUGAAGGCCCUCGGGUCUUAAAGCCCUGUCAGGUGGGAAGAAACCUGUCGAUGCAAAUAUCAUCGGCAAUUGACGG
This 429-nucleotide ribosomal RNA is filed under the name uncultured bacterium. RNAcentral describes it as "bacterial SSU rRNA". It matches the Rfam family "Bacterial small subunit ribosomal RNA", at positions 54 to 475 of the family's 1533-position model. The record is from RNAcentral.